UGUAAACGAUGUCGAUUUGGAGUUUGGGGGCAUGACCCUUGGGCUCCGGAGCUAACGCGUUAAAUCGACCGCUGGGGAGUACGGCCGCAAGGUUAAAACUCAAAUGAAUUGACGGGGGCCCGCACAAGCGGUGGAGCAUGUGGUUUAAUUCGAUGCAACGCGAAGAACCUUACCUGGUCUUGACAUCCAUAGAAUCUUUCAGAGAUGAGAGAGUGCCUUCGGGAGCUAUGAGACAGGUGCUGCAUGGCUGUCGUCAGCUCGUGUUGUGAAAUGUUGGGUUAAGUCCCGCAACGAGCGCAACCCCUAUCCUUUGUUGCCAGCACGUAAUGGUGGGAACUCAAAGGAGACUGCCGUUGAUAAAGCGGAGGAAGGUGGGGACGACGUCAAGUCAUCAUGGCCCUUACGACCAGGGCUACACACGUGCUACAAUGGCGUAUACAAAGGGAUGCGAAGGUGCGAACUGGAGCGGACCUCACAAAGUACGUCUAAGUCCGGAUUGGAGUCUGCAACUCGACUCCAUGAAGUCGGAAUCGCUAGUAAUCGUGAAUCAGAAUGUCACGGUGAAUACGUUCCCGGGCCUUGUACACACCGCCCGUCACACCAUGGGAGUGGGUUGCACCAGAAGUAGAUAGCUUAACCUUCGGGAGGGCGUUUACCACGGUGUGGUUCAUGACUGGGGUGAAGUCGUAACAAGGUAACCA
Molecule: ribosomal RNA, 701 nt
Filed under: uncultured Enterobacteriaceae bacterium
Lineage: Bacteria; Pseudomonadati; Pseudomonadota; Gammaproteobacteria; Enterobacterales; Enterobacteriaceae
Description: bacterial SSU rRNA
Rfam family: Bacterial small subunit ribosomal RNA
Source: RNAcentral